GUAUUCCUUGUCAAUCAGUGGGCUAUUGUAAAUACACCAGUUUUUUUCUUUUUUUCCCUUUUACCAUUUCUUCCUCAGUGCCACACAAACUGAUUUUGAGCUAUCAUGGAUUCGUGCCAGUGUGGAAAGGGAUCUUUUUUAAUGGGGAAAAUCUUUCUGAGAUUGGAAGAACAGUCCAAACCUUUUGCUUUGAUCCCAAGGUUCGACCAUCCACGUCAGCUUCACAGUGACUGACAGAACAAAUCAAUGGUGGAGCAUGUCCAGUGGGUGGUGAGGAAGAACUCUGGCUGCCUGAAUAAUUUUGGUGGAGAAUUGUCAGAAAAUCAUUGAACCAGAUUUAUUAAAUAUCUGAAAAAUAGUGACAGGCAUUGUGUGGUUUCUAAGGUUCCAUCACAGAAUGGCAGGGAAGUCGAUUUGCUUAUAAACUGUAGACA
Aquila chrysaetos chrysaetos is the source of this 434-nucleotide long non-coding RNA. RefSeq lists it as uncharacterized. The transcript has 3 exons. NCBI's taxonomy places the organism in Eukaryota, Metazoa, Chordata, Aves, Accipitriformes, Accipitridae. The record is from RefSeq and is a predicted model, not a curated record.